AUAAAUACUUGCAAUUUAUAUUUAUCCACACUAUAUGUUAUAUUACCCACACUCUACAAGUCUUUAUGCUCAACUUCUAAUGUUCCAAGUGAUUCAUCAUUCUGUCCACAUUUCUUUCAAGUUAUUACCUUUAUUAUCAAAUUAACUCAACAAAGUGAUAAGCAUAAUUAAAUUUUGUUGAUUAGUUUAUUAGUUUAUUUAUUUUAUUUACAAAGAUCCAGUGUGCACCUUACAGAACCAAGAUCGUGGAAGUGAUAUUUAGAUAGGUUCUAAAUUCAGUAUUUCAUGUGAAGUGUAGUCACUCACUCAGGAAUGAACUCAAACUUCAGCACUUGGCUUCAAAAGAGUUCUAUCAUUGCACCAAAGAAUGGCCCUUUUCCAGUUUAAAUAUCAUCUCAUUAUUCUGUGUGGUCACCUAAUUUGAUAUAUAGGUAGGAGCAACUCCAUAAACAUUUAUUUUAUUUACAAAGAUCCAGUGUGCACCUUACAGAACCAAGAUCGUGGAAGUGAUAUUUAGAUAGGUUCUAAAUUCAGUAUUUCAUGUGAAGUGUAGUCACUCACUCAGGAAUGAACUCAAACUUCAGCACUUGGCUUCAAAAGAGUUCUAUCAUUGCACCAAAGAAUGGCCCUUUUCCAGUUUAAAUAUCAUCUCAUUAUUCUGUGUGGUCACCUAAUUUGAUAUAUAGGUAGGAGCAACUCCAUAAACAUUUA
Molecule: long non-coding RNA, 711 nt
Filed under: Populus trichocarpa (black cottonwood)
Lineage: Eukaryota; Viridiplantae; Streptophyta; Magnoliopsida; Malpighiales; Salicaceae
Description: long non-coding RNA (PTRI_LNC001481)
Source: RNAcentral